CAAGCCCUCACCGGAAUUGUACGAUAAGUUGGUGGAUAUACUGGGAAAGAUGAAGAAAAUGGAAAAGAUGCGUUCAUUGUUAGAUGAAAUGCAUGCAGACCAUCUUAUUUCUCUUAAUACAAUAGCAAAAGUUAUGAGAAGGUUUGCAGGUGCACGCGAAUGGAAAGAAGCAGUGAGGACAUUUGAUGAGUUGGGAAAAUUUGGUUUGAAGAAGAAUACAGAGUCAAUGAAUUUGUUACUUGACACUCUGUGCAAAGAAAAUAGAGUCCAACAGGCGCGUGAAAUCUUCUACGAGCUCAAG
RNAcentral lists this unclassified non-coding RNA (301 nucleotides) under Hevea brasiliensis (rubber tree). Lineage: Eukaryota; Viridiplantae; Streptophyta; Magnoliopsida; Malpighiales; Euphorbiaceae. The record is from RNAcentral.